This 73-nucleotide transfer RNA is filed under the name Plakina crypta. RNAcentral's name for it is "tRNA-Pro". It matches the Rfam family "tRNA". Rfam says of the family: Transfer RNA (tRNA) molecules are approximately 80 nucleotides in length. Lineage: Eukaryota; Metazoa; Porifera; Homoscleromorpha; Homosclerophorida; Plakinidae. The record is from RNAcentral. RNAcentral also lists the same sequence under 1 other name.
CGGGAAAUAGAUCAAUCGGGAGAUUAUCUGCUUUGGGAGCAGAAGGUUGUGGGUUCGAGUCCCAUUUUCCUGA